AGUUCGCAUACAAACGCUAAACGUUCAAAUACUACAAAAAUUCAAAGCAAACGGGGAGCGCGCGCGUUUUUUAAUAUUAAAACCAAAAAAAAACCAAAAACAAAAACAAAAAAACAACAACAUAAUAUAUAUUUUUUUCUACACUUUACAUACAUAUAAAUAUAUAUAUACCAUAGAUAUAUAUACAUACUUAAAUAUAUAUACUAAGAAAGUAAAAAAAAUAAUAAUAACAACAACAGCAGCAACAACAACAACAAAAAGAAAAAAACAAAAGAGCAAAAAAACAAGCUAGCAGUUUAAAAAAAAUCUUUUUUCAAUUUUUUUUCUUCUUCCGAUGCGUUCUGCAACAAAAUCUAUAACUACAACAAAAUAAAAAUCUUUUCAAAAUUUCAAGUAACAAAACAAAAAAAAAGUUGGAAUUAUAAAAAAAUAAACUUAAAUCAAAAUUCUUUUAAUCUCCACCAAAACGAAAGAAAGAAGGAAGAAAAAAUGGCCAAGUUCUCCAAUGAAAAGGACCUGAAUUUUUCACCGAAUUCAGAAAAAUAAAAAUUCUUAAUAAAAAUAUCUAAUCCAAGAGAGGAAAAUUAUUAUCCUACUUCAAUUGUGUUUGUGUGUGCAUUUUUGAAAGUUUUUUAAUUUUUAUUUUUCAAACAAAAUAAGGAAAAACAUUUUCUUUGAUGUUAACUUUCGUUCGGUUUGUGUGUGUGUGUUCGAUUUUAAGUUUCUCUCAAGUUACGAAAAAAGUAAGAAAAAUUACUUCUCGAUAUAUAUAAACCAUAAAUAAUGUGUAUAUAUACUUCAAAAUCCAAAAAAGAAUAACAACAAAAGAGAAAAAAUAUAAAAAUUAAAAAAAAUAUUUAAAAAAAAAGUUGUGAAGAAAAUAUCCCGUCAAGCCAACAAAAAAGAGAAAAGAAAAACAAAAUUCAAAUAUUUUCAUUUAGUUGUGUUUUGUGUACACUUCAAGCCAUUCUCCACACUGCAGCCUCCUCCUCCUCCCUCACCAUGGAACAUCGAGUGGAAAUGUCAAACUGAAGUAAAUCAAAAAUAAUGGAAUAUUGAUUUUUUUUGUUUAUGGUUACCUCCUCGUACUCUCUUCGUGCAGUCGUUUCGUAUUCCUAAGGCCAAAGAUUUCAAAAACAAAAAUAGAAAAAAAAAAAACAAGCGAGCCAACAGACAGUUAAAACCAUUAGAAACCCAUAAAAAACUGUGAACUAGACGAAGAAACAACCAAAAAAAAAAAAAAAAAAGAGAACAGAACAUAAAAACUAAACAAAUAGCCAAAACAGCGAUCCCCACAAAAAAGUCAUGUAAAUUUAUAUUACCUGAGUGCUAAGUGAGAAGAAGCAACAACAACAAUAAUAGCAACACAAAAUAAAUUAAUACAAGCUACCCACACACACAUACACCCCAAACAGCCAGCGAGGAGCAUUGCGUAGAAGCUGUGAAUGAGUGGCUGGUGUUAAUGGCCCACAAAACAAAUCUUCAAAAAAACAGCAGAAGAAAAGAAAAGCAGAACGCCUCCUCAAUUGAAAAUAGUCAUUACAACAAUAGCAACAACACCAACAAAAACAGCAGGAUAGUCCGCCGCAGCGAAGUUCAAUGAAACAGCCGAUAGUACCAUAAAUAACAGCUGAGAGGCGAAAUGGAUUUUCUGGUUUGAGUUGGAAACCCCAAACCUCUUCUCAGAUCAACACAAAAAUCUCGCCUCCAAGGAUCUCCAAGGGAAGUCUUUGGAUUUGCAUUGACUUGAAUUCUAUCGAUGUUUGUAUGGGGCCUUUGUCAAGCCGUGACUGUUGUUCUGUUGCCGAAAUCAAUUAAAAGCUGCUUUGGCAGCAGUCGGCGACAUUAACGACGCCGCCACCGUUGCCUUCUCCUCCGGUGCACGGCAAGAGGUCGUUACGCACAUAAAUCGGCUCAUUAAACAUUGCAGGGUAUAGCGUUACUUUUGCCGCCUAUUUUUGGCCCAGCAUGUGUGGCUUGUAUCGCCAAUCCUGUCAGCAGCAAAAAUAAUAGCAGCCAUCAUCCCCCAGCCAGCUGAAACAAAAACAGGCAUCCCCCCAUCUACACAAUUCACAGCUGAGACCACAUCCGAGCGAGAAGCCAGAAGCCACUACCAAUAAAAUGUUAAAAGAUUUUAUGAUUUAUGUUGUUGUUGUCGUUGUCGCCCCCCUCAGCCACCACAACCACCAACACCGACAUAGCCAUAGCCAUAGCCACCAUUAUCAUCAGCAUCAUCACAAGUUCCAUUACCACCACCACAACCACGACCGCCAUUACCACAAUAGCCACCACCACCUACAAAAGAACCACAACAACAGCCACAAACUUAGGCUCUGUCUUGGCCAAGUUAUCAGUCAUCAGCGAUCAGAACAGCCAGAAUCACAGCAACAAAAGAAAAUUGUCUAAAAAAAACCAAACAAAACCGCUUGUUCCCCCUCAACCACCACCACCAAAUUUGAAAAACAAACGAAUUAUUAGAAAUUCCCGCUUUUUGAGCCACAGACCACCAACACCACAAAGCAAAAUCAAAUCAAAUCAUCAGCCAUAUUAAUGAAAAACGCCAGGAAAAAAGCAAGAAAAAUAAAUCAAGCAAAGCGCAGCAACAACAAAAAACCAAACUGAUAGUCCAAAAAAAAAAAAAAAAAAUAUAA
Long non-coding RNA from Musca domestica (house fly), 2651 nucleotides. RefSeq lists it as uncharacterized. The transcript has 3 exons. The record is from RefSeq and is a predicted model, not a curated record. Lineage: Eukaryota; Metazoa; Arthropoda; Insecta; Diptera; Muscidae.